RNAcentral lists this long non-coding RNA (992 nucleotides) under Homo sapiens (human). RNAcentral's name for it is "HSALNT0371120". The record is from RNAcentral. Lineage: Eukaryota; Metazoa; Chordata; Mammalia; Primates; Hominidae.
AGGAGGACAAAGAACCAAAAAAUUCAUGAUACAUACAGAAAACAAAUAACAAAAUAGCAGAUAUGAACGCAACCACACUAAUAAUUAUAUUAAAUGUGAGUACACUAACUGCUGCUAUCAAAAUAUGGGGAAAUGGGCAUGGUGGCUCACACUUGUAAUCCUAGCACUGCUAUCCAGCCUGGGUGACAGAGUGAGACUCUGUCUCAAAAAAAAAACACACAAAAAAAAAAACGGGGGCAGACACGUGGCUCAUGCCUGUAACCCCAGCACUUUGGGAGGUCGAGGCAGGCAGAUCACUUGAGGUCAGGAGUUCGAGACCAGCCUGGCCAACAUGGUGAAACCCCAUAUCUACUAAAAAUACAAAAAAUUAGCUGGGCAUGGUGGCGGGUGCCUGUAAUCCCAGCUACUUGGCAGGCUGACGCAGGAGAAUCGCUUGAACCUGGGAGGCGGAGGUCUGCAGGCAGAGUGUUGAGUCACAUGGUAACUAUAUAUUUAACUUUCAGAAACUAAUGAUUUUCCACAGCAGCUGCACUACUUUACAUUCCCACUAGCAAAGCACAAAGGUUCCAAUUUCUCUACAUCCUUGCCAACACUUGUUUUUUUAAAUUUUUUUAUUUUUUGAGAUGGAGUUUCACUCUUGCUGUCCAGGCUGGAGUGCAAUGGCACAGUCUUGGCUCACUGCAACCUCCAGUGCCCGGGUUCAAGCGAGUCUCCUGCUUCAGCCUCCCUAGUAGCUGGGAUUACAGGCACCCCCCAUCCCACCAUGCCCAGCUAAUUUUUUGUAUUUUUAGUAGAGAUGGGGUUUCACCAUGUUGGCCAGGCUGGUCUCGAACUCCCAACCUCAGGUGAUCCGCCUGCCUCAGCCUCCCAAAGUGCUGGGAUUACAGGCGUGAGCCACCAUGCCCGGCCAGAAAACUAAACUCUUAAAAACUUGUACUAAAUCUUAAUAGCAUUUUCUAGUUUACAAUGAAUGUCCCAAUAAUAAACUACAA